UUUCAAAUGAAAACAUGUUUUUAUUUUAUUCAUAAGACCUUCUAUGUGUUAAUCUGGUGUACAGAUACAAAAUAAUGUCCCAACUAAACUAAAGAACAAAAAGUUUUAAAAAUUACUACAUAUAUAUAACUAAAUUUCUCAAGAUUAAUAAUAAUGGCAAAAAUAUGGAAAAGCUACUUAAUUAAAAACAAGCAAUACAUUAACAGAAAUACUAAUACAGUGAUAGAAUUAAGAACAUCCCAAACUAUUUGUUAACCUUAGGACCACAUGUUAGCAUUACCAGGACAAGGUUGCUAACAUUCCCUAAAACCUACAAUCAUCAUCAUGUGCCUGUUCAAACCCACAGGGACAAAGUCACAGUUGUAGAGUUGCAGACAGGUUGCUAUCAAAGCUAUAGAAAGAAUUUGAACUCUGUUGGUCAAGAUUUCAAAUAUUAUGAUACACAUAGUGAAGAUUAUGAGGAGCAAUAGGUACAUAGUGUAAGCUCUAGUGAGUGUGUUCAAACAGUCUACUUAAAAAGUGAAUCAAACUGUUCAUUGUAGACUUUGUAAUGACACAGAUUAAAACAAAAGAUUAGAUCACAAAAUUUGAGACAUAAAGCACAAAAAUGUAACAAACUUUUUUACAAAGGAGCUUGCUAAUAAGACAAAGUCUUUGAUGCCAAAGAUUAAGGAUGAGUGCAAUGUUUCACGAGACCAUGCAAACCCAGAUGCGACCUGCAUAUUUUGCCAUGGAAAGUCAUUGUCUUUUUCGCCUUUCUUUUGCAAAGGUUUUUGUAGUUAACAUUGUACACACAUGAACAGUUGCAUUGAACAUAGUCUCAUAAAAUCAACUAAACCAACAAUGGGAUGAUGGUGUUUGUAAUGUAAAUUACUUUCUUCAAAGAGCAAAAAUCUAUAAUCAAUUCUUCCAUUUUUCUACCCUCAUAAGUAUAUAAUC
Biomphalaria pfeifferi is the source of this 939-nucleotide non-coding RNA. The record is from the annotation of a GenBank genome assembly. NCBI's taxonomy places the organism in Eukaryota, Metazoa, Mollusca, Gastropoda, Planorbidae.